AAGGGGACUCCCACAAAAUAACUGGGGAAUUACCGUUGGGCAUUUAUAUUGACAACUUUACUUGUGUUGUACAUCUGAUGAAACAAGAAAUUCGUCUGCAAAAUCUGAAAGUUUGCAAUUAUUUAUUGUAAUUGUCUUUAAUUACCAUGAAGGAAUUUAUUGUUGAUUCAAUUGCUGCUUAUGGUGAGGAAGACGUCAAGCAGCAAUUUAAGAAGAUAGUGCUUUACAUAAAGAAAAGAUCAUACAUCAUACACAUUAUUUCCGUGGACAUUCAACGUCAUUAUAUUGUCAAAAUCGUGGUCGAAAAGAUUGCGCUAAAUUUUUUAAGCAAAGGAACACCAAAAGCGCUGAAAGUUUUCGAGAAAUGAUCGAGGAAGAUGAAAGGAGUCAAGACGGAGGUCGUUAAUUAAUUACAAUAUUUCUAGAAAAAAUGCGUGAUCCGAUAUCAGGAUUAUACAUAAUGCAGUAAAACGUUCACUGAUAUAAAAAAUUUUUAUUGAACAAGCUUUUGCAUGGUUCUAAAGUUUUUCUAAAGUUUUUCAGAGGAAACUACAGAACACAAAAAACUUUAGAAUCAUGGCACACUGGAAUAACUAAAGCAGCUGAUAACAACUCAAGAACACUUCCACCACAUUAUAAUAUUCUUUUAAAAAAACAGUGACUAUACCUAUCACAUAGAACAUUGUAUCAUAUUACUUUAUUUCCGCUUUUUUAUUUAUGUGUUUAUAUCGUGUUACACCCCAUUCGUUUCUUUUAUAACCCGUCGAAAGCUGUAGACAGACAGCCGAAAGCUUGUUCGAUAAAAAAAUUUUAUAUCAGUGAACGCUUUACUGCAUUACAAUGUUUUUGUUAAAAAUAUUGUAUUAUUGUCAAUUCUAAUUGCUCACAUGUUUAUAGUGUUUUUCAGAAAAAAAAAACAUAUUGAAACUCAUGGAAUUGGUGACAAAUACAAAUUACAAAAAAUUACAAAUACUUCUCGAAAGAGAAGAAGAUAUCUGUAUGCUGAUGAAAGAAAUGGAAAUCUUAAAGAAGUGGUACCACCACACUAUUCAGGGCUUUCAAUUUCAAUUAUUUCUGUAUUUAUAUAUACGUGCUUCGUCACUAUAAAACAUUUGGUUGCACUUGCAAUCUUCAUCUUUGCAUUUCUCUAAGGCUGAAGCUAAUCGCUGACCCAGUUUACUCUGGGCGCGUGUGCUUAGGUUAUUUAAGAAUUUAUAUUCACAAUGACUUUCACAUGUCACAGAUUAGAUGCUUCUCACACCUGUCAUUUUUUACCAUUCCUGUAUCACAAUAAAAGUUUGUUUCAGGUGGAUAUAGUGAACUUAAUGCUGAAGAGACUAGAGAUGACAGGCUUCCAAGCCAAAUAAUUGAACUGAUGACGGUCGACCGUUUAACUGAACAAAAUUUUAGCUUGGUCGUUGAGGAAAUUGUGGAAGAACACGACACGUUAAAUUACAGUGAUGAAGAUAGAAGCGGGACGUUGGAUCAGAGAGUGAUGAAUGAUGAAAACGAGUUGUACGUUUCGUCCAUUGAAAGCUUCUGGGAUGACUGGGAGCUUCCUUCGAGAUUGUCAGCUACGUCAGAACUUUGAGGACCAUUGACCUUUGGCAAACAUUGUUGUAAAAUAGUGCAAAUAAAAACACUGCAAUCAACACUAAAAUGUCUUCAAGUAGAUUUGCAUUCGUGAAGAAAAUUGAUGACUUUGAAACAGUUUCAAAAACGUGAACAUAUGUUGUUAGAUAGAUAGAUGGAUAGAUAGAUGAUUUAUUUCUUAAAACUGGCAGCCAUAUUGCUGAAAUACGUUUAAGAUUACAUAUAAUACAUACAUAAAUAAAUUAACUAAAUUGCAUCUUCAAUGAGUUAUAAGUUAUAAACUAUUUCUAAAACGUUUGGUAUUAAAGUUAGUUUUAAAUGAA
Xenia sp. Carnegie-2017 is the source of this 1916-nucleotide long non-coding RNA. RefSeq lists it as uncharacterized. The record is from RefSeq and is a predicted model, not a curated record. The transcript has 4 exons. Lineage: Eukaryota; Metazoa; Cnidaria; Anthozoa; Malacalcyonacea; Xeniidae.